UUGUGGUUGCAUUCCCAUUCUGCUGGAUCUGUUGUUGUUGCUGGUGCUGAAGCUGAAGCUGUAGGCCAUGGUGAUUGAUGGAAGAUUGGGGCAUUACUCCGUUGGAGGGAUGAGACUGCGCAUUUAGCUCUGUUGUAGCGAGUUUCAAUCUCUGAACCUCCGCGGUUAAGGCUUCGUUAAGAGCAUCCCGUAGUUGUGCUUGUUGUUCCAUGGCUUGUAGUCGA
RNAcentral lists this unclassified non-coding RNA (224 nucleotides) under Hevea brasiliensis (rubber tree). The record is from RNAcentral. Lineage: Eukaryota; Viridiplantae; Streptophyta; Magnoliopsida; Malpighiales; Euphorbiaceae.